RNAcentral lists this unclassified non-coding RNA (221 nucleotides) under uncultured Xylaria. RNAcentral describes it as "sequence contains ITS1". Lineage: Eukaryota; Fungi; Ascomycota; Sordariomycetes; Xylariales; Xylariaceae. The record is from RNAcentral.
CUGAGUUAUUAAAACUCCAAACCCUUUGUGAACCUUACCGUCGUUGCCUCGGCGUGAGCUACGGCUACCCUGUAGUUACCCUAUAGUUACCCUGUAGUUACCCUGCAGCUACCCUAUAGUUACCCUGUAGCUACCCUGUAGCCGGCUUAUGGCCCGCCGAAGGACCGCCAAACUCUUGUUUUUUAUUACUGUUUCUCUGAAUUGUAAACCUAAAUAAGUUA